GUUUCCUCCCUCCCCCGCCUAGGAGGGGGAAAGAGGAAAGGGGGAGUGUGGCGGGGCGGGUGAUAAUGGGGAGGUAUCAGGGCAAAUAAUAGAGCAGGGGUUGGGCGAAGAGAGCGCCAGUGCGUAGCGACGAUUCUGGGAGAGGAGGUGCUCGGAGGAAAGGGCGGGGGUUGCUGAUGUAAUGGGGAGAAGUGAUUAAUCCUUCGGUUCGCCGUUUCAGCUUCCCCCCUACCCCAACCUUCACCCGAUUUUUUUGAACUGAAAAAAAAGUGGAACGAGGGAGCCAAUCUUUGGUCCCACAAACUGCAAGGAAAAGAAAAACCCUCAAGAGGAAUUACCUUUAUACCUGAUGCCCCCAACAUAAUCUCUCUCCAAGGGAAACUUGUUUUUAUUGCCUUGCGGCUGUUACGAUGACUGAAAAUGUAUUCUGGAUUCUCCCCCUUCUCUCUUUUGUUUUGCAUUUUUUGGAUGUGGUAAAACUGGCAGUUUAUCUGAUUAUCUGGUUUUCAGAACUUUGGACGAUGUCUCUGAGUGUCAUCAGUUGCUGUCUAGGUUUGACAUAGAUAAUUAAGCAACUACAAAGCGUGAUAAAGCUUUUGAGAGGGAGGAAAGUGUAUUUUGGAAGGAGGGAGAGACGCAAAGAGGCGAGCCUGUGUGUUGAGUCCCAGACUUGGUGUGUGACUACAGGCAAAGUACUUCACCUUUCUAGAUGUCAGCCCCGCCCCCCUCACCUCCCAAGUUUAAAUAAGAACUUAUUUUAGACUACAUGAUCCUGUUUUCAAUUUUUAAGAGUUCUGUGAUUUUGAGAUGAUCUCUCUUUAGUCCAGAAAAAUGGAGGAAUGUAGGUCUAUGUUUGUUUCUCAAAAAAAUAUUUGAGGAGGACAGCUGUUACAAAACAGCUGGAGAACUCCAAAUUUUUAUGGUGGUUAGCUAGGUGCAAAUGGGUACAAUUUUAGGUUUGUUCAAAUAAACAUAGGGGAAAAGUAAAAGUACAGGAAAAUUACAUUAUACAUAUAAGUGUGUCCAUUUCUGAUUUUUCUAAAAAUUUACUUUUUGAUUUGACAAGUACUUUUUGGCUCCUUCCGUGUAUGCAUUAAUAUGUAUAUAAGGUGUUAUGG
This 1118-nucleotide long non-coding RNA is filed under the name Pan troglodytes (chimpanzee). Its description in RNAcentral is "long non-coding RNA NONPTRT010109". The record is from RNAcentral. Lineage: Eukaryota; Metazoa; Chordata; Mammalia; Primates; Hominidae.